Molecule: long non-coding RNA, 1666 nt
Organism: Oreochromis aureus
Lineage: Eukaryota; Metazoa; Chordata; Actinopteri; Cichliformes; Cichlidae
Source: Ensembl
GAGGUACAGCGAUCUCCUUCUAGAGUCAAUUUGAGGUGUGGUGCUUGCAUUUAGAAGGUUUUGCUGUGAAUAGACAACAUGGGGUCAAAAGAGCUCUCAUUAAACCCGAUUCCUUUUCCCCAUGACAAAACAGAGAAAACCGACUCGUAGUGUGUUAAAACAGUUCUAUUUCUUUAUUUAAUCAUCUUCCGGAAGAGAGAGACCUCUGCACAGCUCAGACGCCAGUUGCAAGAGCUCUCUAACAUUAGAAUCAUAAGCUGUCUUAUAUGGUGUUAUUUCGGUACUUUACACGUCACACAGUCUCACACAUUGCUUAUAUGGAAAGUUCCUCUUUUCUGUGUCUUGAUUUAUUAAUAUGCCUUGUGCACUACAACUUCCUGUUUUUCAGUCUGGCUGAGCACUUAUUUGUGAGUCAAAGGUGGCCUUGCUCUACAAGCCUUCAUUAUUAAAGUACAUAAAACAAUAUAAUGAGCAGAUACACAUUAAAAUAUUUCUUUUAUUCCUAACACUCUCUAUGCAGGUGAAACAAGCCAUGCUUAAGCUGCCAAAACAGAAAAAAACAAAAAGAAACGGCUACAAUAUUAGGAGUGGCAAAUUCUACACUUUGGUACUCCUGAGAGGCAGUGUGGGCAUGCCUGCCAGUGGCCCUGAGACUUAGUGUUUAUUGAUGAUGAUGUGACACAGGAUAGGACAGAAGCAGCUAAAUUAAUUAUGAGGUGUUCAGAGACAUACUAUCUGCUCAAAUCCAAAUCUCACUGCAUCUGAGAUGUUUCAUUUAAAAUUCAUUGUUGUAAUGUACAGAACAAAAUUAGAAAAAAAUUGUCUCUGUCCAAAUAUUUAUGUACCUAACUUUAACUCUCUCACCUCCUCCACUACAGGCCUAUCUCCCUUUGAAGGAUUUCUAGGGUACCAGCCACCACUCUUCCAAUCCAUCUAAGCCAGGGGUGGGCAAUUCCAGGCCCCGAGGGCCGGUGUCCCUGCAGGUUUUAGAUCUCACCUUGGGUCAACACACCUGAAUCACAUGAUUAGUUCGUUACCAGGCCUCUGGAGAACAUCAGGACAUGUUGAGGAGAUAAUUUAGCCAUUUAAAUCAGCUGUGUUGGUUCAAGGACACAUGUAAAACCUGCAGGGACACCGGCCCUCGGUGCCCACCCCUGAUCUAAGCCAACCUCACCAUGCCAUCCAUUCAGCAUCAUGUACAACGGAGCUGGCGGAUUAGGUCCUCUGCCCUGGACUACGAGCCUGGGAAAAAGGCUCUCUGAUGGGUGAUCCAGUGGUGAUGGUGAGUCUGUACCCUGAGUUCCCCCAGUCUGUGAUGUGUUCAAUGGCUUCAUGUGGAGAGUUUGUGUUGGUAGUGAAUAAUUCUGAAAAUGACACUCCUCUGCUCCUGUUGGAGAGUUUACCGAUGGGUUGCUAUUCAAACAUUUACAGUUUGGGGUCUAGUUAUGAACACAUCUUCCCGUGACUUGUAUUCAUGUGAUCUCAGUGACUUACAGUGAUAUCACUGUAAAUGUGUAAUAACAAAUUUCCCAUGUGUGGGACUAAUAAAGGUUAUCUUAUCUUAUCUUAUCUUAUCUGAUCUUAUAAGAUGUCGUCCCUGUUGUUAAACACCAUGUUGCCUUUGGAUGAUUCUGCAAAACUCCAGGUUAUGUUUGAUCUCACUUGU